RNAcentral lists this ribosomal RNA (485 nucleotides) under uncultured bacterium. RNAcentral describes it as "bacterial SSU rRNA". It matches the Rfam family "Bacterial small subunit ribosomal RNA", at positions 30 to 508 of the family's 1533-position model. The record is from RNAcentral.
AUUGAACGCUGGCGGCAGGCCUAACACAUGCAAGUCGAGCGGAUGAAGAGAGCUUGCUCUCUGAUUCAGCGGCGGACGGGUGAGUAAUGCCUAGGAAUCUGCCUGAUAGUGGGGGACAACGUUUCGAAAGGAACGCUAAUACCGCAUACGUCCUACGGGAGAAAGUGGGGGCUCUUCGGACCUCACGCUAUCGGAUGAGCCUAGGUCGGAUUAGCUAGUUGGUGGGGUAAGGGCCCACCAAGGCGACGAUCCGUAACUGGUCUGAGAGGAUGAUCAGUCACACUGGAACUGAGACACGGUCCAGACUCCUACGGGAGGCAGCAGUGGGGAAUAUUGGACAAUGGGCGAAAGCCUGAUCCAGCCAUGCCGCGUGUGUGAAGAAGGUCUUCGGAUUGUAAAGCACUUUAAGUCGGGAGGAAGGGCUGCCGGUUAAUACCCUGCAGCCUUGACGUUACCGACAGAAUAAGCACCGGCUAACUUCGUGC